This 468-nucleotide ribosomal RNA is filed under the name uncultured bacterium. RNAcentral's name for it is "partial 16S ribosomal RNA". It matches the Rfam family "Bacterial small subunit ribosomal RNA", at positions 28 to 507 of the family's 1533-position model. The record is from RNAcentral.
GACGAACGCUGGCGGCGUGCUUAACACAUGCAAGUCGAACGGAAAGGCCCUGCUUUUGUGGGGUGCUCGAGUGGCGAACGGGUGAGUAACACGUGAGUAACCUGCCCUUGACUUUGGGAUAACUUCAGGAAACUGGGGCUAAUACCGGAUAGGAGCUCCUGCUGCAUGGUGGGGGUUGGAAAGUUUCGGCGGUUGGGGAUGGACUCGCGGCUUAUCAGCUUGUUGGUGGGGUAGUGGCUUACCAGGGCUUUGUCGGGUAGCCGGCCUGAGAGGGUGACCGGCCACAUUGGGACUGAGAUACGGCCCAGACUCCUACGGGAGGCAGCAGUGGGGAAUAUUGCACAAUGGGCGGAAGCCUGAUGCAGCAACGCCGCGUGCGGGAUGACGGCCUUCGGGUUGUAAACCGCUUUCGCCUGUGACGAAGCGUGAGUGACGGUAAUGGGUAAAGAAGCACCGGCUAACUACGUG